Molecule: long non-coding RNA, 379 nt
Filed under: Homo sapiens (human)
Lineage: Eukaryota; Metazoa; Chordata; Mammalia; Primates; Hominidae
Description: non-protein coding lnc-BRF1-10:3
Source: RNAcentral
GGGCAUUACUCACCUCUCCAGCUCUGGUCCGCUGUUGUACCACGGGUCUAAUCAGGCUGUGUCUGUCUCCUUCUUGAACAGCCCAGAAAAUUCAUCUGAACAGCCUUCCUACAGCCGCUCCCCACACCAGGUGGCCAGGUGGGAGUUCCAGACCAGAGCUGUCUCCCGGGAUGUUGACACAGCAGCCACGUUGAUUGGUGUUGGGGCAGCCCCUGUCGGUGUGGCUGGCUUCGGGCCUGGCAUUGGAACGGUGUCUGGCAGCUUGUUGGCUAUGCCGGGAAUCUGUUUCUCAAGCAGCAGCUCAUCUCCGAUGCCAUUCUGGGCUUUGCUGUGUCUGAGGCCAUGGGGCUGUUCUGUUUGGUGGUCGUCUUCCUCAUCC